Molecule: ribosomal RNA, 258 nt
Filed under: Rhizophagus sp. (in: glomeromycetes)
Lineage: Eukaryota; Fungi; Glomeromycota; Glomeromycetes; Glomerales; Glomeraceae
Description: Rhizophagus sp. (in: Fungi) partial small subunit ribosomal RNA
Rfam family: Eukaryotic small subunit ribosomal RNA
Source: RNAcentral
AAGCUCGUAGUUGAAUUUCGGGGUUAGUAGGUUGGUCAUGCCUCCGGUAUGUACUGAUCUCACUGAUUCCUCCUUCCUUAUGAACCGUAAUGCCAUUAAUUUGGUGUUGCGGGGAAUUUGGACUGUUACUUUGAAGAAAUUAGAGUGUUUAAAGCAGGCUAACGCUUGAAUACAUUAGCAUGGAAUAAUGAAAUAGGACGUUCGAUCUUAUUUUGUUGGUUUCUAGGAUUGACGUAAUGAUUAAUAGGGAUAGUUGGG